RNAcentral lists this long non-coding RNA (261 nucleotides) under Mytilus galloprovincialis (Mediterranean mussel). Lineage: Eukaryota; Metazoa; Mollusca; Bivalvia; Mytilida; Mytilidae. The record is from RNAcentral.
UUCCCAAACAACCCGACUCCAAGGACGCUCCGAUGAACGACGCCAGGUACCGGUAAAGUCCUUACACCCGCUCUGGGAGAGGCCCCGAUCAGGAGGACCUAGGCACCCGGACAUUGCCCUAAUAGACCAAAGUGUCCUUCAGCGUAAGGCUGCGGGAUUCGGUGCUGAGCUCUUCCCGCUUCGUUCGCCAUUACUAGGGGAAUCCUAGUUAGUUUCUUUUCCUCCGCUUAGUGAUAUGCUAAAAUUCAGCGGGUACUCACG